RNAcentral lists this ribosomal RNA (431 nucleotides) under uncultured bacterium. Its description in RNAcentral is "bacterial SSU rRNA". It matches the Rfam family "Bacterial small subunit ribosomal RNA", at positions 29 to 506 of the family's 1533-position model. The record is from RNAcentral.
ACGAACGCUGGCGGCAUGCCUAACACAUGCAAGUCGAACGAAGCCUUCGGGCUUAGUGGCGCACGGGUGCGUAACGCGUGGGAAUCUGCCCUUGGGUUCGGAAUAACAGUUAGAAAUGACUGCUAAUACCGGAUGAUGUCUUCGGACCAAAGAUUUAUCGCCCAGGGAUGAGCCCGCGUAAGAUUAGCUAGUUGGUGGGGUAAUGGCCUACCAAGGCGACGAUCUUUAGCUGGUCUGAGAGGAUGAUCAGCCACACUGGGACUGAGACACGGCCCAGACUCCUACGGGAGGCAGCAGUGGGGAAUAUUGGACAAUGGGCGAAAGCCUGAUCCAGCAAUGCCGCGUGAGUGAUGAAGGCCUUAGGGUUGUAAAGCUCUUUUACCCGGGAUGAUAAUGACAGUACCGGGAGAAUAAGCUCCGGCUAACUCCGU